Pelobates cultripes (western spadefoot toad) is the source of this 280-nucleotide non-coding RNA. The record is from the annotation of a GenBank genome assembly. NCBI's taxonomy places the organism in Eukaryota, Metazoa, Chordata, Amphibia, Anura, Pelobatidae.
UCCACCAGUAACUAAUUAAAAAAAAAAAGUACUUACAUUUAUAAAUUUGUUUCCUUUUUUUCCUAAACACUAUGUGUGUAAAGGGUGCUGUAUGUGUGUGAAGGGUGUAGUGUGUGUGAAGGGUACUGUAUGUGGGUGAGUGGUGAAGUGUGUGUGAGGGGUGCUGUGUGUGUGAGAGGUGCUGUGUGUGAAGGGGGCAGUCUGUGUGUGUGAGGGAUGUAGUGUGUGUUUGUGUGUAAAGGGUCCAUAGGGUCUAUGCUAGGUGGGCGAGAUGGGAAAA